This 468-nucleotide ribosomal RNA is filed under the name uncultured bacterium. RNAcentral's name for it is "partial 16S ribosomal RNA". It matches the Rfam family "Bacterial small subunit ribosomal RNA", at positions 28 to 507 of the family's 1533-position model. The record is from RNAcentral.
GACGAACGCUGGCGGCGUGCUUAACACAUGCAAGUCGAACGGAAAGGCCCUGCUUUUGUGGGGUGCUCGAGUGGCGAACGGGUGAGUAACACGUGAGUAACCUGGCCUUGACUUUGGGAUAACUUCAGGAAACUGGGGCUAAUACCGGAUAGGAGCUCCUGCUGCAUGGUGGGGGUGGGAAAGUUUCGGCGGUUGGGGAUGGACUCGCGGCUUAUCAGCUUGUUGGUGGGGUAGUGGCUUACCAAGGCUUUGACGGGUAGCCGGCCUGAGAGGGUGACCGGACACAUUGGGACUGAGAUACGGCCCAGCCUCCUACGGGAGGCAGCAGUGGGGAAUAUUGUACAAUGGGCGGAAGCCUGAUGCAGCAACGCCGCGUGCGGGAUGACGGCCUUCGGGUUGUAAACCGCUUUCGCCUGUGACGAAGCGUGAGUGACGGUAAUGGGUGAAGAAGCACCGGCUAACUACGUG